CAGGAACAGCUACAGGUGAGUAAGCACAUAGUCGGCUUACAGACGUUUCACCUCAUGCUGCUAUUUCAUAACUACUUUCUCCUGAGAUUCCUUGAAGAGAAAUAAAGACAGUUUCAUUUAAGUUCAGGACGGCUUAAAAGGAAGCGCCUGAAGUCCCACAUUGUGACACAACUCUACAGCACAUUCUUCUUUUAAUCUGAUGUAUAAACAAGAUGUAUUUGCUUCAAGCUGCAUUCAUCCUGUCAUUAUACUCUUUUUGCUCUUCUGAUAUUAUGCAGCCGUCUGAAUUGGAAACAUUGGAAGGAGAAGAUUUUUCGCUCAGAUGUGACCAUCCAUCUUUCACUAGUGCUCAUGUCAUCCAGUGGUACAAAUUAUUACCAGGGAAGGGACGAGUACGCCUCAUCAGUGACUUUCAGAGCACUAAGUUAUUGGACAAGUAUACAGUAACCUUCAGCAACAAGAAGAAAUACAGCUUCCUCAAUAUAAAAAAUGUUAAACCUGAAGAGAGCGCAGUGUAUCUUUGUGCUCAGACUAGCACAGAGAUAUAAAUGUAUUUCCUGCCCAUACAGUAUGUCAGU
This is a long non-coding RNA of Hyla sarda, 578 nucleotides long. RefSeq lists it as uncharacterized. Lineage: Eukaryota; Metazoa; Chordata; Amphibia; Anura; Hylidae. The transcript is spliced from 3 exons. The record is from RefSeq and is a predicted model, not a curated record.